Molecule: transfer RNA, 91 nt
Filed under: Candidatus Methanoperedens nitratireducens
Lineage: Archaea; Methanobacteriati; Methanobacteriota; Methanomicrobia; Methanosarcinales; Candidatus Methanoperedentaceae
Description: Candidatus Methanoperedens nitroreducens tRNA
Rfam family: tRNA
About the family: Transfer RNA (tRNA) molecules are approximately 80 nucleotides in length.
Source: Rfam by way of RNAcentral
GGGCGCGUGGCCUAGUCCGGAUAUGGCGGCAGCCUCCUACUGUUUCCCAGGAGAAAGCUGUAGGUCGGGGGUUCGAAUCCCUCCGCGCCCG